Molecule: unclassified non-coding RNA, 632 nt
Filed under: Hevea brasiliensis (rubber tree)
Lineage: Eukaryota; Viridiplantae; Streptophyta; Magnoliopsida; Malpighiales; Euphorbiaceae
Source: RNAcentral
UAAUGAUAAAUACAUAAGGAUUUCAUUGAUCAACCCUAAGUAAUACAAAUAAAUCAGGAAGGAUAGGACUUCUCUUGAGAAGAUCAAACUAAGAGAGUUCACCGACUUUAUAAAAAAUCCUAUCUAAAGCAAAUAGAUUUUGUGAAAGCAUAACAAAAUGGAUAGAUAUUUGAGUGACUAAAUAAUUCUUUGAAUUUUUCGUACUUGGCCUGCAAAUUUACAAACUAACUGUGAAUGGCAAACACAAAAGGCGUGAAUAACAAAGUUUCAUUGACGGAACAAGUCGCAUAUUAAGCUCCAGUUGAAGGAAAUCAAUCUUUACAACCCAAAUUUGGUAAAACAAACUUAAUACACAGCGAUUUGACAAAACAGAAUCAACUCUCCAGACAUAAAUCUCUAGAAAAGACGGAAAACCUCCAGAUUUGAGAACACAAAAAAUAAGAAAAAGACAAAAAAAAGUGCUAAGACAAAGAAAACGAUAAAAAGAAAAAUUAGCAAAAUUGAGGAGGAAGAGGAUGCUGCCCGCCAAAAUUGCCAGUAACAACCGAUCUAAGAAAAGCUCGAACUUGUCACGAUGAACAAGAGGAAAAACUCCCAAAGAGGAUUUUAACUACUAGUGGUUGUUGUAUUAG